RNAcentral lists this ribosomal RNA (425 nucleotides) under uncultured bacterium. RNAcentral describes it as "partial 16S ribosomal RNA". It matches the Rfam family "Bacterial small subunit ribosomal RNA", at positions 354 to 796 of the family's 1533-position model. The record is from RNAcentral.
GUGGGGAAUAUUGGACAAUGGGCGAAAGCCUGAUCCAGCAAUGCCGCGUGAGUGAUGAAGGCCCUAGGGUUGUAAAGCUCUUUUACCCGGGAUGAUAAUGACAGUACCGGGAGAAUAAGCUCCGGCUAACUCCGUGCCAGCAGCCGCGGUAAUACGGAGGGAGCUAGCGUUGUUCGGAAUUACUGGGCGUAAAGCGCGCGUAGGCGGUUUUCCAAGUCAGGGGUGAAAGCCCGGGGCUCAACCCCGGAAUAGCCCUUGAAACUGGAAGACUAGAAUCUUGGAGAGGUCAGUGGAAUUCCGAGUGUAGAGGUGAAAUUCGUAGAUAUUCGGAAGAACACCAGUGGCGAAGGCGACUGACUGGACAAGUAUUGACGCUGAGGUGCGAAAGCGUGGGGAGCAAACAGGAUUAGAAACCCGGGUAGUCC